AUGACAGAAACAACCUUCUACUUUGAAGCCUCCUCUUUUGAUCAGAUUCAAAUCAUCACCCUUUCCAGCGGCAGCAGUAAACAAGAAGGGAAAGGGCGACUGAAGUACCUACUGCAGCAGACAGAAGUAUUUGCCCACUUUGCAGAAGGAAGCCAGGCUAAAGAGAAGAAGCCACGUGGAAGCUCACAUUCUCCCCCCGAGGCCGAAUCCCCUUUCUCCCGGUGCCUCACCAAUUUCGAUCGACGGCGCAAGGCGGCCGGCCGGAACCCAGUCGAGUCGAGCUCCUCCCGGCGCGGCCUUCAGCAGUGCGCGGCGCUCCAGCUCGUCUUCACCGUCCAGCCCGAAGAACAUACAGGAUCUGAAGUAUCAACCUCUUUAAUAUUCCUUCUCCCGGCAGCAGCACACUUCGUCGGUUUUGUCCCGCUCGGCACUCUCCUCCCAGGCUCCCACCUAGUGUUUGCCGGUGGAAAACCAAAGAUGAAGCAGAGCAGCCUCGCGUGCGCGGCCAUCGGUCUGCUCGUCGCGUUCGGAUGGCUCGCAGCUGCUGGAGACUGCAGUCUUUCCCUCAAGUUCUGCGUCAUGAGGGAUUGCAAGACCAAAGGUGAGUUUUGGAAGUGGAAACCGGACUGCUUCUGCUGCGUCGUGCAGCCGGGCGUUCCGUGCUGGCACACGGAAAACCUGAUGCUACGCCCUGUUUGCUGUUGCAACCCCUGUCUACGUGUGGUACUACGCCUGUUUGCUGCUGUACUGAGGUGCGAGGCUGGGUUUUGUGAGUUCCAAUCUGCUUUGGUUUUGCCACACCCAAAGAUGUAUCAUCUGUUUCCAAAUGAUAGAUCUGAACUGCCCGGACUGCCGCACUACGGUGCCAUAUAG
RNAcentral lists this ribosomal RNA (873 nucleotides) under Triticum aestivum (bread wheat). RNAcentral's name for it is "partial small subunit ribosomal RNA". Lineage: Eukaryota; Viridiplantae; Streptophyta; Magnoliopsida; Poales; Poaceae. The record is from RNAcentral.